RNAcentral lists this unclassified non-coding RNA (301 nucleotides) under plant metagenome. RNAcentral's name for it is "partial contains small subunit ribosomal RNA, internal transcribed spacer 1, and 5.8S ribosomal RNA". The record is from RNAcentral.
UUUCCGUAGGUGAACCUGCGGAAGGAUCAUUAUUGAAUAAACCUGAUGUGACUGUUAGCUGGCUUUUCGAAGCAUGUGCUCGUCCGUCAUCUUUAAUCUCUCCACCUGUGCACAUUUUGUAGUCUUGGAUACCUCUCGAGGCAACUCGGAUUUUAGGAUCGCCGUGCUGCACAAGUCGGCUUUCCUUUCAUUUCCAAGACUAUGUUUUUAUAUACACCAAAGUAUGUUUAAAGAAUGUCAUCAAUAGGAACUUGUUUCCUAUAAAAUUAUACAACUUUCAGCAACGGAUCUCUUGGCUCUC